This 99-nucleotide transfer RNA is filed under the name Diaporthe ampelina. It matches the Rfam family "tRNA". From Rfam's summary of the family: Transfer RNA (tRNA) molecules are approximately 80 nucleotides in length. Their secondary structure includes four short double-helical elements and three loops (D, anti-codon, and T loops). The record is from Rfam by way of RNAcentral. Lineage: Eukaryota; Fungi; Ascomycota; Sordariomycetes; Diaporthales; Diaporthaceae.
GGUCUGUUGGCCCAAUGGCAAGGCGUCUGACUACGACUUGUGAAUUUGCACAAGAAAUUCGCGAUCAGGAGAUUGCAGGUUCGACCCCUGCACAGAUCA